RNAcentral lists this ribosomal RNA (2904 nucleotides) under Escherichia coli. RNAcentral describes it as "23S ribosomal RNA". It matches the Rfam family "Bacterial large subunit ribosomal RNA". Lineage: Bacteria; Pseudomonadati; Pseudomonadota; Gammaproteobacteria; Enterobacterales; Enterobacteriaceae. The record is from RNAcentral.
GGUUAAGCGACUAAGCGUACACGGUGGAUGCCCUGGCAGUCAGAGGCGAUGAAGGACGUGCUAAUCUGCGAUAAGCGUCGGUAAGGUGAUAUGAACCGUUAUAACCGGCGAUUUCCGAAUGGGGAAACCCAGUGUGAUUCGUCACACUAUCAUUAACUGAAUCCAUAGGUUAAUGAGGCGAACCGGGGGAACUGAAACAUCUAAGUACCCCGAGGAAAAGAAAUCAACCGAGAUUCCCCCAGUAGCGGCGAGCGAACGGGGAGGAGCCCAGAGCCUGAAUCAGUGUGUGUGUUAGUGGAAGCGUCUGGAAAGGCGCGCGAUACAGGGUGACAGCCCCGUACACAAAAAUGCACAUGCUGUGAGCUCGAUGAGUAGGGCGGGACACGUGGUAUCCUGUCUGAAUAUGGGGGGACCAUCCUCCAAGGCUAAAUACUCCUGACUGACCGAUAGUGAACCAGUACCGUGAGGGAAAGGCGAAAAGAACCCCGGCGAGGGGAGUGAAAAAGAACCUGAAACCGUGUACGUACAAGCAGUGGGAGCCUCUUAAUGGGGUGACUGCGUACCUUUUGUAUAAUGGGUCAGCGACUUAUAUUCUGUAGCAAGGUUAACCGAAUAGGGGAGCCGAAGGGAAACCGAGUCUUAACUGGGCGUUAAGUUGCAGGGUAUAGACCCGAAACCCGGUGAUCUAGCCAUGGGCAGGUUGAAGGUUGGGUAACACUAACUGGAGGACCGAACCGACUAAUGUUGAAAAAUUAGCGGAUGACUUGUGGCUGGGGGUGAAAGGCCAAUCAAACCGGGAGAUAGCUGGUUCUCCCCGAAAGCUAUUUAGGUAGCGCCUCGUGAAUUCAUCUCCGGGGGUAGAGCACUGUUUCGGCAAGGGGGUCAUCCCGACUUACCAACCCGAUGCAAACUGCGAAUACCGGAGAAUGUUAUCACGGGAGACACACGGCGGGUGCUAACGUCCGUCGUGAAGAGGGAAACAACCCAGACCGCCAGCUAAGGUCCCAAAGUCAUGGUUAAGUGGGAAACGAUGUGGGAAGGCCCAGACAGCCAGGAUGUUGGCUUAGAAGCAGCCAUCAUUUAAAGAAAGCGUAAUAGCUCACUGGUCGAGUCGGCCUGCGCGGAAGAUGUAACGGGGCUAAACCAUGCACCGAAGCUGCGGCAGCGACACUAUGUGUUGUUGGGUAGGGGAGCGUUCUGUAAGCCUGUGAAGGUGGCCUGUGAGGGUUGCUGGAGGUAUCAGAAGUGCGAAUGCUGACAUAAGUAACGAUAAAGCGGGUGAAAAGCCCGCUCGCCGGAAGACCAAGGGUUCCUGUCCAACGUUAAUCGGGGCAGGGUGAGUCGACCCCUAAGGCGAGGCCGAAAGGCGUAGUCGAUGGGAAACAGGUUAAUAUUCCUGUACUUGGUGUUACUGCGAAGGGGGGACGGAGAAGGCUAUGUUGGCCGGGCGACGGUUGUCCCGGUUUAAGCGUGUAGGCUGGUUUUCCAGGCAAAUCCGGAAAAUCAAGGCUGAGGCGUGAUGACGAGGCACUACGGUGCUGAAGCAACAAAUGCCCUGCUUCCAGGAAAAGCCUCUAAGCAUCAGGUAACAUCAAAUCGUACCCCAAACCGACACAGGUGGUCAGGUAGAGAAUACCAAGGCGCUUGAGAGAACUCGGGUGAAGGAACUAGGCAAAAUGGUGCCGUAACUUCGGGAGAAGGCACGCUGAUAUGUAGGUGAAGCGACUUGCUCGUGGAGCUGAAAUCAGUCGAAGAUACCAGCUGGCUGCAACUGUUUAUUAAAAACACAGCACUGUGCAAACACGAAAGUGGACGUAUACGGUGUGACGCCUGCCCGGUGCCGGAAGGUUAAUUGAUGGGGUUAGCGGUAACGCGAAGCUCUUGAUCGAAGCCCCGGUAAACGGCGGCCGUAACUAUAACGGUCCUAAGGUAGCGAAAUUCCUUGUCGGGUAAGUUCCGACCUGCACGAAUGGCGUAAUGAUGGCCAGGCUGUCUCCACCCGAGACUCAGUGAAAUUGAACUCGCUGUGAAGAUGCAGUGUACCCGCGGCAAGACGGAAAGACCCCGUGAACCUUUACUAUAGCUUGACACUGAACAUUGAGCCUUGAUGUGUAGGAUAGGUGGGAGGCUUUGAAGUGUGGACGCCAGUCUGCAUGGAGCCGACCUUGAAAUACCACCCUUUAAUGUUUGAUGUUCUAACGUUGGCCCCUGAUCGGGGUUGCGGACAGUGUCUGGUGGGUAGUUUGACUGGGGCGGUCUCCUCCUAAAGAGUAACGGAGGAGCACGAAGGUUGGCUAAUCCUGGUCGGACAUCAGGAGGUUAGUGCAAUGGCAUAAGCCAGCUUGACUGCGAGCGUGACGGCGCGAGCAGGUGCGAAAGCAGGUCAUAGUGAUCCGGUGGUUCUGAAUGGAAGGGCCAUCGCUCAACGGAUAAAAGGUACUCCGGGGAUAACAGGCUGAUACCGCCCAAGAGUUCAUAUCGACGGCGGUGUUUGGCACCUCGAUGUCGGCUCAUCACAUCCUGGGGCUGAAGUAGGUCCCAAGGGUAUGGCUGUUCGCCAUUUAAAGUGGUACGCGAGCUGGGUUUAGAACGUCGUGAGACAGUUCGGUCCCUAUCUGCCGUGGGCGCUGGAGAACUGAGGGGGGCUGCUCCUAGUACGAGAGGACCGGAGUGGACGCAUCACUGGUGUUCGGGUUGUCAUGCCAAUGGCACUGCCCGGUAGCUAAAUGCGGAAGAGAUAAGUGCUGAAAGCAUCUAAGCACGAAACUUGCCCCGAGAUGAGUUCUCCCUGACCCUUUAAGGGUCCUGAAGGAACGUUGAAGACGACGACGUUGAUAGGCCGGGUGUGUAAGCGCAGCGAUGCGUUGAGCUAACCGGUACUAAUGAACCGUGAGGCUUAACCUU